AAACUGCGAAUGGCUCAUUAUAUAAGUUAUCGUUUAUUUGAUAGUACCUUACUACUUGGAUAACCGUGGUAAUUCUAGAGCUAAUACAUGCUAAAAAUCCCGACUUCGGAAGGGAUGUAUUUAUUAGAUUAAAAACCAAUGCCCUUCGGGGCUCCUUGGUGAUUCAUGAUAACUUCGCGAAUCGCAUGGCCUUGCGCCGGCGAUGGUUCAUUCAAAUUUCUUCCCUAUCAACUUUCGAUGUUUGGGUAUUGGCCAAACAUGGUUGCAACGGGUAACGGAGGGUUAGGGCUCGACCCCGGAGAAGGAGCCUGAGAAACGGCUACUACAUCCAAGGAAGGCAGCAGGCGCGCAAAUUACCCAAUCCCGACACGGGGAGGUAGUGACAAUAAAUACUGAUACAGGGCUCUUUAGGGUCUUGUAAUUGGAAUGAGUACAAUUUAAAUCCCUUAACGAGGAACAAUUGGAGGGCAAGUCUGGUGCCAGCAGCCGCGGUAAUUCCAGCUCCAAUAGCGUAUAUUAAAGUUGUUGUGGUUAAAAAGCUCGUAGUUGAACCUUGGGCCUGGCUGGCCGGUCCGCCUCACCGCGUGCACUGGUCCGGCCGGGCCUUUCCCUCUGUGGAACCCCAUGCCCUUCACUGGGCGUGGCGGGGAAACAGGACUUUUACUUUGAAAAAAUUAGAGUGCUCCAGGCAGGCCUAUGCUCGAAUACAUUAGCAUGGAAUAAUAAAAUAGGACGUGCGGUUCUAUUUUGUUGGUUUCUAGGACCGCCGUAAUGAUUAAUAGGGACAGUCGGGGGCAUCAGUAUUCAAUUGUCAGAGGUGAAAUUCUUGGAUUUAUUGAAGACUAACUACUGCGAAAGCAUUUGCCAAGGAUGUUUUCAUUAAUCAGGAACGAAAGUUAGGGGAUCGAAGACGAUCAGAUACCGUCGUAGUCUUAACCGUAAACGAUGCCGACUAGGGAUCGGACGGUGUUAUUACUUGACCCGUUCGGCACCUUACGAGAAAUC
This 1005-nucleotide ribosomal RNA is filed under the name Acremonium sclerotigenum. Its description in RNAcentral is "SSU rRNA". It matches the Rfam family "Eukaryotic small subunit ribosomal RNA", at positions 84 to 1099 of the family's 1831-position model. The record is from RNAcentral. Lineage: Eukaryota; Fungi; Ascomycota; Sordariomycetes; Hypocreales; Bionectriaceae.